GCUCAUGCUGAGGUGAUGACCACGCUCUUCUGAUUUUCCAGCCUCUUGUUCUGAAGCCUUCUAGCCAUGAAGAAAAUGGCCAGCAGAAGUCAGAGAGAGCCAACCAAGAUUCCUACACCAAGGCUCAGCAUUUCACCUGUAGGAUACAAGGAUCCCAUCUGGAUGAAAAAAGCAAAGAAUCCUUUUUAUAUGGAGCAUCUUGCAAAAUUAGUGUUCUGAGAGUCAUAACAUGGGAAACAAUGCUUAAUUGUUUUGAAUGUGGUCCAAGGACGCUUGCAUCAGAAUCACUGUGGAUGCUGAUUAUUGAUACAAAAAAUCAUCGCCACGUCUUGUUAUGUCAGAAGCUCUUCUACCAGAAGCUGAAAGAGAAUAGCCUUUCAAGGAACAUGGAGAAGUUAACGUGAGGAUGUCAGAACAAGAACACAGAGGGUCCCUUGGUCCCUAAUACUUUGGGGGCCACCAUAUUAUCCCUGGACUGCUUAGCAUGGACCGUUAUAUAAUAGAGAAAUAAAUUUAUUUCCUGUA
Molecule: long non-coding RNA, 525 nt
Filed under: Homo sapiens (human)
Lineage: Eukaryota; Metazoa; Chordata; Mammalia; Primates; Hominidae
Description: HSALNT0296322
Source: RNAcentral